UACGAAGGGGGCUAGCGUUGUUCGGAAUCACUGGGCGUAAAGCGCACGCAGGCGGAUUGAUAAGUCAGGGGUGAAAUCCCGGGGCUCAACCUCGGAAUUGCCUUUGAUACUGUCUGUCUUGAGUUCGGGAGAGGUUGGCGGAAUUCCUAGUGUAGAGGUGAAAUUCGUAGAUAUUAGGAAGAACACCAGUGGCGAAGGCGGCUAACUGGCCCGAUACUGACGCUCAGGUGCGAAAGCGUGGGGAGCAAACAGG
RNAcentral lists this ribosomal RNA (253 nucleotides) under uncultured bacterium. Its description in RNAcentral is "partial 16S ribosomal RNA". It matches the Rfam family "Bacterial small subunit ribosomal RNA", at positions 524 to 776 of the family's 1533-position model. The record is from RNAcentral.